RNAcentral lists this ribosomal RNA (253 nucleotides) under uncultured bacterium. RNAcentral's name for it is "partial 16S ribosomal RNA". It matches the Rfam family "Bacterial small subunit ribosomal RNA", at positions 524 to 776 of the family's 1533-position model. The record is from RNAcentral.
UACGAAGGGGGCUAGCGUUGCUCGGAAUGACUGGGCGUAAAGGGCGCGUAGGCGGUUCGGACAGUCAGGCGUGAAAUUCCCGGGCUCAACCUGGGGACUGCGCUUGAUACAUCUGGACUAGAGUGAGGAAGAGGGUCGUGGAAUUCCCAGUGUAGAGGUGAAAUUCGUAGAUAUUGGGAAGAACACCGGUGGCGAAGGCGGCGACCUGGUCCUUUACUGACGCUGAGGCGCGAAAGCGUGGGGAGCAAACAGG